AGGCUUGCAACUUUUGUACCAAGAAACUGUAACCAAUUUUCUUUUAUCCACAUCACCACUCCAGAUAAAAUUCCUAAUCCACUUUUCCAGAUCAUUAAGGAGAGAUUUUGGCCAACAAUACACUGAUAUGCUAUGAAUUAACAUACCUUGAAUAACUGAUUUCACCAAUUGAACCCUCCCAGCAAUAGAGAGGAGAGAUGCUUUCCAGGCAGAUAACUUACUUUUGAUUUUAUCUGCAAU
RNAcentral lists this long non-coding RNA (240 nucleotides) under Medicago truncatula (barrel medic). Its description in RNAcentral is "long non-coding RNA (MTRU_LNC001666)". Lineage: Eukaryota; Viridiplantae; Streptophyta; Magnoliopsida; Fabales; Fabaceae. The record is from RNAcentral.